UAAGCAGUUGUUGUUUGUUUCUGUAAUUCUAUUUAGUCAUUACAAUGAAAACAGCUUCAUUGUAUCAACUUGAUUCAAACUUUUUAUAAAAAAAAAGCUUCAAUUUUUUUUUCAAUAAAUGACAAAAAUACAUUUUUUUUUUGUAAUUUUUUUUUCAGUUUUUUCUUUGUGUACAAUACAUAUAUCAGCUGUAUCGUUAAAUUUGCUUCGUUGGCCUUGGACAAAACAUAAGCUACAAUUAGAAGAUGACGCUCUCUCUACUGAAAAUUUUGGAGAACGUAUUCCGGAUGAUGACGAUAAUGUUGCUGAUGAUGAUGACGAUCUUGAUUUUCCCAUUAAUCAGCAUCAAUCAAGUAGGACGCCACUUAAUAUUCGGGAAAAUACUUACAACUUGCAAAAUUACCCGGAACACUCAAAUACGAUAGCACCACACCCAGUAAUAGCCUUUUUUUUUUGUAUGCAGACGCAAAAAUCAUUAACAUAUUUUAGUUUCUUGAUUAUUUGCCUCAUGAAUCAACCAGUGACUUUAAUCCAGAAGAAGUGAAAAGGGAGAACGGUUUGCUACGUCGAAUGAUAUCUUCAAACGUGCCUCAAUCGAUUCCUCCCUCUCCACCGCAACCUAUUUAUAUUCCUUAUGCAAUACCUUCUCCUAGUGCACCACCAUGUGGCUCAUGCGGAUCUCCAGUAACAGUGGUGUCUUUAUCCUCAAAUGGUGACACAAAAUUAGCCUCCUCUAAAUGUAAAUGUUGUUGCGAUACGAACGAGACUAAGCCAAAAUAUACUUCAAGUGAUGAUAAGACAGCUGAAGAUAUAGAGACUAUUCAAAAUAAUGAAGGUGAAGAGGAUAAACAGGAUCAGGAACAUGUAUCCAAAGAUACAUCAAAAAAAGAAAAGACCGAAAAUGAUGAAGAAGAGGAUUUGAACGAAAAUGAGGACAUGUCUGAUUUGUCAGUUGAUGAUGAGGAUGUUGACACGUCUGAUUGAUUCGUUUGGAAAAUGCAUGUCAUCCUAAUUACGUUAUUCUAUUGAUUGAAUGCGUUAAACAAAAAUUUAUGAUAAAUGAAUUCUAUUUUAGUAAAACUUGAAAAUCAGUUAAACCAAAUAUUUAAGAAAUGUUUAAAAAUUUCAACGUCACAAAAGGAGCCUUUGCCAAAAAAACUUAAACUCCACAAAACUGUUAUUGCACUUAUCCUUUGAUUGAAAACAUUGAAAGGAAAGAAACGAAAAUAAUGACCAAGACAUUGGGUUCCCUGUUUAUUUGAUAAAUAAAAAGUUUCAAUGUUUUCCUCGUAAAUAUUUUCAUCAUCGAAAUGUAUGGGAACGCUUGACGGAUUAUCAGUUAUAUACGGGAAUCCACAA
RNA transcript from Hylaeus volcanicus, 1359 nucleotides. It is a transcript of the gene named doublecortin domain-containing protein-like, with no coding region annotated. The record is from RefSeq and is a predicted model, not a curated record. NCBI's taxonomy places the organism in Eukaryota, Metazoa, Arthropoda, Insecta, Hymenoptera, Colletidae. The transcript has 6 exons.